Sebastes umbrosus (honeycomb rockfish) is the source of this 140-nucleotide long non-coding RNA. RefSeq lists it as uncharacterized. Lineage: Eukaryota; Metazoa; Chordata; Actinopteri; Perciformes; Sebastidae. The record is from RefSeq and is a predicted model, not a curated record. The transcript is spliced from 3 exons.
CUAAAGUAAUUAGGACAACGAUAUGUACAACUGAGCAACCACAGGUCAGCAAGGUGUUCUACUGUUUCACGGGGUGUCCCCCAGGGGUCAGUAUUGGGUCCACUUCUAUUUAUCAUUUACCUCCUUCCCCUUGGCACUAU